Eriocheir sinensis (Chinese mitten crab) is the source of this 495-nucleotide long non-coding RNA. RefSeq lists it as uncharacterized. The record is from RefSeq and is a predicted model, not a curated record. Lineage: Eukaryota; Metazoa; Arthropoda; Malacostraca; Decapoda; Varunidae. The transcript is spliced from 3 exons.
GAGGAUAAGAAGAUAGCAUGGACUGAAGUGGCAGAAGCUGUAACAAGUGCCUUCCCUGGGAGUGGACCCCGUACGCAGGAUGACUGUGAGAGGCGUUGGUACAACGUACAACAAAAAUCAAAGCCUCGCAUUGCCAAGUGCAAGAAUGAGCAGCGGCAGACUGCCCCGCUGCUGUAUUGCUAGAGACCAUCCCAACACAUUGUUCAUUACUUGUGGAAAAGAUACCAUCAGCUGCUCCGGCAACAGCCACUGCUUCAUCAUCUGCUGGCCCUAUGACACCUGCCACUGCUUCAUCAUCUGCUGGCCCAAUGACACCUGCCACUGCAAGGGAUGACAAUGAAGCUGCUCCACCACAGUCACCACCUACUUCAUCGGAGUUAAGAGAUGCCUUUCAUAGGGCAGCAGUAUAAUUUUUUGAUGCUGGGGCUGAAUAUUACUGCCUCAAGGCUAUGAUUUUGUCACUUUUUCUUAUUACUGAGGAGGUUAGGGUGGAAG